GACGAACGCUGGCGGCGUGCUUAACACAUGCAAGUCGAACGGAAAGGCCCUGCUUGCAGGGUACUCGAGUGGCCAACGGGUGAGUAACACGUGGGUGAUCUGCCCUGCUCUUCGGGAUAAGCCUGGUAAACUGGGUCUAAUACCGGCUAGGAGCCAUUUUGAGUGUGAUGGUUGGAAAGUUUUUUCGGUGUAGGAUGAGCUCGCGGCCUAUCAGCUUGUUGGUGGGGUAAUGGCCUACCAAGGCGGCGGCGGGUAGCCGGCCUGAGGGGGUGGACGGCCACAAUGGGACUUAGAUACGGCCCAAGCACCGACGGGAGGCAGCAGGGGGGAAUAUUGCACGAUGGGCGCAAGGCUGGUGCUGCGAGGCCGCGGGGGGGAUGACGGCCUUCGGGGUGUAAACUCCUUGCGCUAGGGACGAAGCUUUUUGUGACGGUACCUAGAUAAGAAGCACCGGCUAACUACGUG
RNAcentral lists this ribosomal RNA (465 nucleotides) under uncultured bacterium. RNAcentral describes it as "partial 16S ribosomal RNA". It matches the Rfam family "Bacterial small subunit ribosomal RNA", at positions 28 to 507 of the family's 1533-position model. The record is from RNAcentral.